Danio aesculapii is the source of this 277-nucleotide long non-coding RNA. RefSeq lists it as uncharacterized. NCBI's taxonomy places the organism in Eukaryota, Metazoa, Chordata, Actinopteri, Cypriniformes, Danionidae. The transcript is spliced from 3 exons. The record is from RefSeq and is a predicted model, not a curated record.
UUGCAAAAAUACACACGACGCUAGUUCCUGUUUCAGCCCGUUUGAAAUAAUUAAUCCACUGAACGACGAUGAAUAUCCAUAUAUGAAAAGGCAUAACGGAGACUGUGUGUGAGGGAGAGAGAGAAUGAUUGAGAAACAAAAUGCCUCAGGGAGAAGUUUAGCGCUCUGAGGUUGAUAGUUCAUCGUUCAGAAGACUCCUGCACCAAAGGAAAUUGAGCAGCGCCGUUUUCGGUUGGGGCUGGGAUCGAAACAUGCAUAUGACGCAUGUGAGUGCACG